This 64-nucleotide transfer RNA is filed under the name Notostomus gibbosus. RNAcentral describes it as "tRNA-Phe". The record is from RNAcentral. Lineage: Eukaryota; Metazoa; Arthropoda; Malacostraca; Decapoda; Oplophoridae.
AGUUGAAUAGCUCAAAAAGAGCGCUAUGUUGAAGCCGUAGAAGUGGCAAAGUUGCCUUCAGGUG